RNAcentral lists this ribosomal RNA (809 nucleotides) under uncultured bacterium. RNAcentral's name for it is "bacterial SSU rRNA". It matches the Rfam family "Bacterial small subunit ribosomal RNA", at positions 558 to 1362 of the family's 1533-position model. The record is from RNAcentral.
GCGUAAAGAGCUCGUAGGCGGUUUGUCGCGUCUGCUGUGAAAGCCCGGGGCUUAACCCCGUGGUGUGCAGUGGGUACGGGCAGACUUGAGUGCAGUAGGGGAGACUGGAAUUCCUGGUGUAGCGGUGAAAUGCGCAGAUAUCAGGAGGAACACCGAUGGCGAAGGCAGGUCUCUGGGCUGUUACUGACGCUGAGGAGCGAAAGCAUGGGGAGCGAACAGGAUUAGAUACCCUGGUAGUCCAUGCCGUAAACGUUGGGCACUAGGUGUGGGGGACAUUCCACGUUUUCCGCGCCGUAGCUAACGCAUUAAGUGCCCCGCCUGGGGAGUACGGCCGCAAGGCUAAAACUCAAAGGAAUUGACGGGGGCCCGCACAAGCGGCGGAGCAUGCGGAUUAAUUCGAUGCAACGCGAAGAACCUUACCAAGGCUUGACAUACACCAGACCGGCCCAGAGAUGGGUUUUCCUCUUUGAGGUUGGUGUACAGGUGGUGCAUGGUUGUCGUCAGCUCGUGUCGUGAGAUGUUGGGUUAAGUCCCGCAACGAGCGCAACCCUCGUUCUAUGUUGCCAGCACGUGAUGGUGGGGACUCAUAGGAGACUGCCGGGGUCAACUCGGAGGAAGGUGGGGAUGACGUCAAAUCAUCAUGCCCCUUAUGUCUUGGGCUUCACGCAUGCUACAAUGGCCGGUACAAUGGGUUGCGAUACCGUGAGGUGGAGCUAAUCCCAAAAAGCUGGUCUCAGUUCGGAUCGUGGUCUGCAACUCGACCACGUGAAGUCGGAGUCGCUAGUAAUCGCAGAUCAGCAACGCUGCGG